CCCAACAACGAUCAAAAUGAUGCUGUUUUGAAAAAAAAAUUGCAGAAACAGAAAGAGACAUGUAUGCCUUUGAAGAUAAAAGGAGGAGGAGCUAAUAGGAAAAAGGAGGCGUUCGAAAGGGGAUCUCCUCUCUUGCAGCUGCCUACAAAAAAGAGACAGAGAGAGACAGAGAAGAAGAUCUGGAGGAGAGAGAUAAGAGCUAGAGAGAAAAGGCAGAAAUUGGAUCUACAAAGCUUGGAGGCCAAGAGACGAAGUGUGAGCUUUGUCAGAAAAUACAAUGAACACGAGCGAAAGGCAGCAACAGCCUGAGUAGGAGAAGUAGAUUUGUGCGAAUGCGAGCUGGUGUGGUGUGAACAAGAAAGCAGAAGAGCGGAGUGAAAGAAGAAAAAUAAUCACGUACAAUUACUACAUGGGAAGACUUACCUAAAAAAUGUUUGGCUAAGUUUUUUCCUCCAGUUAAGAUGGCAAAGAUGAGAAACAUCAUCACCAGUUUUUAUUCAAUAGAUGAAGAGACGUUAUAUGAGGUAUGAGAACGAUUCAAAUAGUUGAUUAAAAGAUGUCCUCAUUACGGGUUACCUAAGUGGUUAUUAGUUCAAACCUUUUAUAACGGAUUGAGCCAACAAACAAGGAUCAUAAUCAAUGUAGCUACUUGAAGAGCUUUGAUGGGGAAAUCCACAGACGAUGCUUAUGAAUUAUUAGAAGAGAUGACCAUGAACAACUAUCAAUGGCCAACAGAAAGAAGUCAACCCAAAA
Long non-coding RNA from Carica papaya (papaya), 753 nucleotides. RefSeq lists it as uncharacterized. The record is from RefSeq and is a predicted model, not a curated record. Lineage: Eukaryota; Viridiplantae; Streptophyta; Magnoliopsida; Brassicales; Caricaceae.